AAAAGAUUUUCGUGUGACAAAAAGAUACAAAUUAUUAUAUUUUAGGUCAAUCUUAGAUUCGUGUGACGUUUUGUCUUCACUAAACAUUUGUUGUCUUUCUUUCUUAAACCUGUUGACCUCAUUGUUCUCCUUUUAAACCUGUAGACAAGGAUGCUACAGGUAGGCUGGAAUGAUUCAAAGGGCCUUAUAUAAAAGUUGUGUCUUUGUCCACACUAACCAACCAUCAUGGCUACCCUGGCUAAAAAACAGUAUCAAGGAUCACAUGUAAGUUAUUGUUUCGUAAAAAAAAAACCAUGUGAAUGGGACAAGUGGUCAGAGUUUAGAUGUGAAUGGGACAAGUGGUCAGAGUUUACAUGUGAAUGGGACAAGUGGUCAGAGUUUACAUGUGCAUGGGACAAGUGGUCAGAGUUUACAUGUGAAUGGGACAAGAGGUCAGAGUUUACAUGUGAAUGGGACAAGUGGUCAGAGUUUACAUGUGAAUGGGACAAGUGGUCAGAGUUUACAUGUUUUGCAUUUCUACCCUAAUUAUCAGAUGACUUCUUAAAGAAGUAUUAACCCCCCUUAUGAUAAUAUUUGACCAAUUGAAUUGGUUUUCCUGAUAGGAACUGUUAACUAACUGACCAGUAAAGCAAAAUGUUUGAUGAUAGUGCCAAUAAUACUGAAACCAUAAAUUGACAUCUUAUAGGAGUGAUGGAUCUUUAAUAACGAUAAAUGACAUCUUAUAGGAGUGAUGGAUCUUUAAUGAUGAUAAUUGACAUCUUAUAGGAGUGAUGGAUCUUUAAUAAUGAUUAUUGGUAAAUGCGAGUUAUUUUGUAAUUUAAUUGAAAUGUAGUAUAGACAGAUAUACUUUUUAAUGAUCAUCAAGGCUUUUCCUAUGUCACCUAAACUGUCAAUUGACUGUUUAUUUGAAAUGUUCCACUUAAAUUACUUUGUGUAUCCAUUAAUUAUUUAAAUUUGUUUGUUAAUAUUUAAUGAAUAAUCCUCUGUGUGUGUUGAUUUAAUGAAAUAUUGCUUUUUAUGUUGAUUUCAAUGAAUGAUGUUAAGGUAGAUCAUAAGUAUAUGUUUCCCAAGAUAGAAUUUUCUUAUACUUUGACAAAAUGAAGAUAUUUUAUUAUGCUCUUUUCAAAAAUAUAAUAAAAAAGAUGGGUCACUUUUCUAUUUUUCAAGCUAUGAGUUGUUGAAAAUUGCCUUAAUUUGCUUAGAAUGAUCAUGAAAAAACACAUUUUUUGUGCAUUUAAAAAAAUCUAUGAGAUACAAUUUUGAAAUAAAUUGUGAGAAGAUGGGUUUUAUAAUAUGUUUCAAGAAAAGAAAAAGAAAAAAUGGUGUCACAGAACUUGUUUUCUUGAUAUAAGAUAAAGUAAAAAAAAUCCCCUAUCAGUGCAGUAUAAAUUUUGUACUUAAAAAAGUUAACUCCCCUUAAAUGGCUUAGUUGAAAAACAUUAUUUUUAAACACUAUUGUUUGGUAUUUGUUUAAAUAUCUUGAAAAAUGCAAUGAAUCGGCAAAUUUUAUUCAUAUGAAUGAAGUGUCUGUCUACAAAUUUGCAGAUUUAGGUAAAUAACUAUGUAUAGGAAGAUGUGGUAUGACUAAUUGUGUACUGAGAUAGGACAAUCCAAGAUGGCGGUAUACAAUGAAUCUAGGAAGUAAACCACUAAUUCAUGGUCCCAUUGCUUUCUAUGUUAAAUUCCUCCAUUUCAGGUAGGCACACCUCUUUCAUUUUAAGUUCAAAUAGAGUAGCAAUCAUUGCAUGUCAAAGCAACACUUUAUGGUGUCUUGUACUGAAAAAAUCAACAUACCUUUAAUGGCAUAUAAGAAAGAACUGGUUCCCGGAACUUUGGAUGUACCAAAACAGGUACUUCAGAUCUGACAAACAGACAAAAUGUACCCUCUUUUUAAAUUUGGUCCAGUUUUUUUAAUAUUUAAAAUUAAAAGUCAAAAAGUGUUUUACAAUGAUCACCAGUUCUUCAGCUUUCAUUUGAUGCCAAAAAUACCUAAAUAUCCUACAUGUUUUGAAAGUUACACUCAUGAGUAGGAACUAUUUUGUGUUGAAUAUGUACUACUUUCUAGUAUGUGCUUUCUGGCCAGGCCUGAAUUAAUAAUGUUACACCUCUACCUUAAAUGUGUGUAGAUUUUAAUGAAUGAUAUUUAGUGUAGAUUUUUUUUAUAAAUGAUCCUUAGAGUGUAGAUUUUAAUGAACUAUCAUUGAAAUGAAUGAUCCUUAGUUUGUGUACAUGAUAUUUAGUGUGUGUAGAUUGAAAUGAAUGAUCCUUAGUUUGU
This 2275-nucleotide long non-coding RNA is filed under the name Mytilus galloprovincialis (Mediterranean mussel). Lineage: Eukaryota; Metazoa; Mollusca; Bivalvia; Mytilida; Mytilidae. The record is from RNAcentral.